This 352-nucleotide RNase P RNA is filed under the name Pigmentibacter sp. JX0631. RNAcentral's name for it is "RNase P RNA component class A". It matches the Rfam family "Bacterial RNase P class A". Rfam says of the family: Ribonuclease P (RNase P) is a ubiquitous endoribonuclease, found in archaea, bacteria and eukarya as well as chloroplasts and mitochondria. Its best characterised activity is the generation of mature 5'-ends of tRNAs by cleaving the 5'-leader elements of precursor-tRNAs. The record is from RNAcentral. Lineage: Bacteria; Pseudomonadati; Bdellovibrionota; Oligoflexia; Silvanigrellales; Silvanigrellaceae.
UCGGGUAAUUCAACUACAACGCGUCCUAACUUGUUAGGAGUGAGGAAAGUCCGGACUUCAUAGAGCAGAAUGCUGGUUAACGACCAGGCGGGGCAACUCGACGGAAAGUGCAACAGAAAAUAAACAGCCGAAGUCGCAAGACUGGCAAUGGUGAAAUCGUGAGGUAAGAGCUCACGGAUAUUGGUUGGCAACAAUCAGUCUGGCAAACCCCAUUCGAAGCAAGGCCAAAUAGGGGUGGAGAAUUUGCUCGAUUCAAUGACACUCGGGUUGGCUGCAAAGAAUGUUAUGGCAACAUAGCAUCAAGAGAAAUUGUAGUUUAAAACAGAAUCCGGCUUAUGUAUUACCCGAUUUU